GUUAAAAAAAACUUGUGAAUGCGACGUGGGCCUCAGGGAAUGUUCGGAGAGCAACUGUUUAGUUGUCUGAAUGUUUUUUUUCACAGUUGAAAAUAUAUUGCCUCUGAGGCAGUUGUUAAGGUCCAAUGCAGAGAACUAUUCUACGGGUGGUGGUGCAGGUGUUCAGCUUCCCCAGGAGGCCUGUGUCAGCUGUCCAAUGACUCCUCCUGUCCUCCUAACUGUUGUGUGGAGCAAUGGUGAAGGGUCAAUAGAUUUAUGGUUUUGCAAGGCAUCGUUAGUGACCACACGGAUCAGGGGGUGCGGCUGGCUGUUGGCGGCAACUGGACGAGGCACACCUGCAUUCAAUCAUCCUCCUCCAUAUAAACCUGGGCGUCUCAUCACGUCGACACCAGAUUAUUCCGUCCACUACGAACUCUCGCGUGCGUCAUCGCCCGGCUCUUCGUCCUGCCCGUUGCCAGGAUCCUCGCC
Gasterosteus aculeatus aculeatus (three-spined stickleback) is the source of this 468-nucleotide long non-coding RNA. Lineage: Eukaryota; Metazoa; Chordata; Actinopteri; Perciformes; Gasterosteidae. The record is from Ensembl.